This 807-nucleotide ribosomal RNA is filed under the name uncultured bacterium. Its description in RNAcentral is "bacterial SSU rRNA". It matches the Rfam family "Bacterial small subunit ribosomal RNA", at positions 8 to 795 of the family's 1533-position model. The record is from RNAcentral.
AGAGUUUGAUCCUGGCUCAGAUUGAACGCUGGAGGCGUGCUUAGCACAUGCAAGUCGUGCGAGAAAGGGACUUCGGUCCUGAGUAGAGCGGCGCACGGGUGAGUAACGCGUGGGUGAUCUCCCUUGGUGACCGGGAUAACAGCGGGAAACUGCUGCUAAUACCGGAUAAUCUUCAUGUUUAACUUCAUGGGGUAAAGGUGGCCUCUGCUUGCAAGCUACCACACCGAGAUGAGCCCGCGUCUCAUUAGCUAGUUGGUAGGGUAAUGGCCUACCAAGGCUACGAUGAGUAGCUGGUCUGAGAGGAUGACCAGCCACACUGGGACUGGAACACGGCCCAGACUCCUACGGGAGGCAGCAGUGGGGAAUAUUGCGCAAUGGGCGAAAGCCUGACGCAGCGACGCCUCGUGAGGGAUGAAGGUCUUCGGAUCGUAAACCUCUGUCAAGAGGGAAGAAACCCUUGGAUUCGAAUAGGGUCCUUGGCUGACGGUACCUCAAAAGGAAGCACCGGCUAACUCCGUGCCAGCAGCCGCGGUAAUACGGAGGGUGCAAGCGUUAAUCGGAAUCACUGGGCGUAAAGCGCUCGUAGGCGGUUUGGUCAGUCAGAUGUGAAAGCCCUCGGGCUCAACCGGGGAACUGCAUUUGAUACUGCCAGACUUGAGUAUCGGAGAGGGUGGCGGAAUUUCCGGGUGUAGGAGUGAAAUCCGUGGAUAUCCCGGAGGAACACCAGUGGCGAAGGCGGCCACCUGGACGAUAACUGACGCUGAGAGCGAAAGCGUGGGGAGCAACAGGAUAGAUACCCUGGUAGUC